This 723-nucleotide long non-coding RNA is filed under the name Homo sapiens (human). RNAcentral's name for it is "HSALNT0295370". Lineage: Eukaryota; Metazoa; Chordata; Mammalia; Primates; Hominidae. The record is from RNAcentral.
GUGGCGGAGGGUGGGGCGGAAGAGCAGAAGGAGACUGGGAAAGGCACUGUCGGUGACAUCACCGAUAGGGCGUUUCUAUGUAGAUGAGGCAGCGCAGGGGCUGCUGCUUCGCCACGAAGGAUUUCCCGUGCCGUGGGAGCGGGUUCAGGACCGCUGGUCGGACCUGAGAGUCCCAGCUGUGUGGGAAGCUCAGCUGUGUAAUUUGUAGUAACGAAGCAGAAGUUACAACGAAAAGACAAGUUUUCCUGUGCUUGGCAGGGCCCCCCUCCCCCCCACCAAGGCCUGCAGUGGAUAGAGCCUAGCAGAUCCUGGACAAUACUAUCCUAAAAGCUACAUCUCUGACAGUGAUUUCCAGCGACUUUGUCAACACGGUCCGCCCCCAGCAAGUAUAAGAGGAAAAACAACAAAUGUCUUUACUGCCUUGUCUUUCCCCCUUGCCACUUGUCAUUAUUCAAGUUUUGUAAGUUCCUGAUUUCCAUUCAGUGCAGCUGCAAGGUUACCAGCUGUGCUUGCGUUGCAAGACCUGUCACAGUUUGAUUAACUGCCUUCUUUCUGCUUCUGUAAGCCCUCUUGCCUGCCCCGCGAGUUUCACACCAUCAAAUUCCUGCUGCACCAUUCAAACUAGCCAACCCCCUUUCAGAAGUGUGUAUAAAAGUCAAGCCCCCUGUCUUUCUUCGGGGCUCAUGCUAGGCCCGAGUGCAUUCAAUAAAAUCCUUCUGUUCC